MicroRNA precursor from Bos indicus x Bos taurus (hybrid cattle), 60 nucleotides. NCBI's taxonomy places the organism in Eukaryota, Metazoa, Chordata, Mammalia, Artiodactyla, Bovidae. The record is from Ensembl.
AUAAAGUUGACUCAGGUUUGCCCAUAUGAUGUGACAGGAUAACCUGAAUGAACUUUUUGG